RNAcentral lists this ribosomal RNA (253 nucleotides) under uncultured bacterium. Its description in RNAcentral is "partial 16S ribosomal RNA". It matches the Rfam family "Bacterial small subunit ribosomal RNA", at positions 524 to 776 of the family's 1533-position model. The record is from RNAcentral.
CACGUAGGGUGCGAGCGUUGUCCGGAAUUAUUGGGCGUAAAGAGCUCGUAGGCGGUGUGUCGCGUCGGCCGUGAAAACCUGCAGCUUAACUGUGGGCUUGCGGUCGAUACGGGCAUCACUGGAGUUCGGCAGGGGAGACUGGAAUUCCUGGUGUAGCGGUGAAAUGCGCAGAUAUCAGGAGGAACACCGGUGCGAAGGCGGGUCUCUGGGCCGAUACUGACGCUGAGGAGCGAAAGCGUGGGGAGCGAACAGG